RNAcentral lists this long non-coding RNA (1390 nucleotides) under Aquilegia coerulea. RNAcentral's name for it is "long non-coding RNA (ACOE_LNC001570)". The record is from RNAcentral. Lineage: Eukaryota; Viridiplantae; Streptophyta; Magnoliopsida; Ranunculales; Ranunculaceae.
GAACUCCUUAGAUUGUUUUCCUUGUCAUCUCCGGAAGCUGUAGCUUUAACAUUUAAAUCACACAUUUUGCUUGGAGCUGUCUGUAGUAAGUUGGAGAAAGUUACUCAGAAAAAAAAAAAAAAAAGUGAACCAUUAUUUCCGUCAACUUCCAGCUAUCAGAUAAUAGUAUAAUACAAUAAUAUCUUCUUUGGAAAGACAAAAUAGGGAUUUUUCUAGCUGACAGAUAAUAAAUUAGUCUACUGUUUGUUUCUAUGGUCGUAUAUUAAUCACUUGUACUUUCUAUAAAAGGAAAAAAUAACAGAGAGAGAGAGAUAAAAACCCACUUUUAACAAUUAUAUUUUAGAAAAUACCACAUUGCUAAUAGAAGGUAUAGUUAUUUACAAACACAAUAAAAUAAGAGUAAAUAAAUGAAACUCCCCAAUAUAAUGUAAUUGGGAAAGGGAACCUUCUCAUAUAAUUAGCUGGGUUGUUGAAACAUAAUCAAGCUUAAAUAUAACUGCACUUGGUUGAAUUCUUUUCAUUGUUAAAGACAUAAAGCCAAAAGCAGUGCAUAAUAUUUUAAAACAAAUACGGAGGCAAAUACAUACUGUAGGGAGCUCAUACAUACCAACGCACUAUCAACAAUGAAAAAAUCACGAUACCAACUUUAUUAAUGCUUUGAUAUUCUCAUUAGAAACACAAUGUAAAAGGCAUCAACUAAAAUAAAACAUUCAUCCUGAUCUCCUUAGGAAUCCAAAUUCAAAAUCAAAAUAAUGGAACAAAAUAACAGGAAACCUUAAAUAGGAGCUCAUCUCCAAGCUUAAAAUAAUAAUGACAACAUCAAAUUUAUUCUGCUCUUGCAUCAGUUUGGGUUGUGUUCAAACUGCCGAAGGAACACCCAUAUGUAUUAUCUAUCAGUGUUCAUAAUAUAAUGUUUUCCAUUUUGUUACCUUCUGAUCAGUAGGCAAGCAUAUAGUGAGCACUAUUAACUUUCAUUUUUAUUUUUGAAGGCUUCCAAUGGUUGGCUCUGAUGAACAUCUACUUUAAACAAAUUCCUCAAUAUUCCUACCCAUAUUCUAGUUAAUACAUAUUUAUUAAACGACAACACAAAAAUUACAACUUAAUCUUCAAAAUCCAUUGGGAAUAUGAGAGGUUUUUAAAUAUAUAAUAAUAACUAAAUAUAUAUUAGGAACUACACUUUCAGCCACAUAAUUUAUCUUACUUCACAAAGAGAUAAGCGUAGUUUAGCUGAUAAUGCAAGAAAAGUGUACCUGAAGUUAGAGCAUUUUCUUAUUCGGCAUCAUCAUUGUACCUGACCUUGACAAUUAGACUGGUUUGAAAAAUUACUUGUAUCUUCUAGUUCUUGUUGUUUCAAGAGCAAAGCGGCAUAUGGAUCAUAAUAAACUUUCAG